This 484-nucleotide ribosomal RNA is filed under the name uncultured Chrysiogenia bacterium. Its description in RNAcentral is "bacterial SSU rRNA". It matches the Rfam family "Bacterial small subunit ribosomal RNA", at positions 9 to 496 of the family's 1533-position model. Lineage: Bacteria; Pseudomonadati; Chrysiogenota; Chrysiogenia. The record is from RNAcentral.
GAGUUUGAUCGUGGCUCAGGACGAACGCUGGCGGCGUGCUUAAUACAUGCAAGUCUUAGGGCGAGGUUCCCGUUCGGGGAGGCUGAGCAACUGGCGCACGGGUGAGUAACCGCGUAAGUAAAGUCUGCCCUUGGGUCUAGGCAUAACCUCGGGAAAACCCGGGGCUAAUUCCAGAUGAUAUCGCAAGAUCAAAGGUUUCGACUGCCCAAGGAUGAGCUUGCGUCUGAUUAGCUUGUUGGCGGGGUAAUGGCCCACCAAGGCGACGAUCAGUAGCCGGUCUGAGAGGAUGAUCGGCCACAUUGGGACUGAGACACGGCCCAGACUCCUACGGGAGGCAGCAGUAAGGAAUAUUGCGCAAUGGACGAAAGUCUGACGCAGCAACGCCGCGUGCAGGAUGAAGGCCCUCCGGGUCGUAAACUGCUGUAGCAGGGGACUAAUAGCCGUCUCGGACGGAAGCGAAGGUACCCCUGAAAGUAAGCCACGG